UGCCAGCAGCCGCGGUAAUACGGAGGGAGCGAGCGUUAAUCGGAAUUACUGGGCGUAAAGGGCGCGUAGGUGGCCAGAUUAGUCGGGUGUGAAAGCCCCGGGCUUAACUCGGGAAUUGCAUUCGAUACUGUCUGGCUAGAGUGCAGUAGAGGGAAGCGGAAUUCCGGGUGUAGCGGUGAAAUCCGUAGAUAUUCGGAGGAACACCAGUGGCGAAGGCGGCUUUCUGGACCGAUACUGACGCUGAGACGCGAAAGCGUGGGGAGCAAACAGGAUUAGAUA
RNAcentral lists this ribosomal RNA (279 nucleotides) under uncultured bacterium. RNAcentral describes it as "partial 16S ribosomal RNA". It matches the Rfam family "Bacterial small subunit ribosomal RNA", at positions 506 to 784 of the family's 1533-position model. The record is from RNAcentral.